UACGGAGGGGGCAAGCGUUGUUCGGAAUUACUGGGCGUAAAGGGUCUGUAGGUGGCUUGCUAAGUCAGACGUGAAAUCCCUCAGCUUAACUGGGGAACUGCGUCUGAGACUGGCGAGCUUGAGGGCAGGAGAGGAACGCGGAAUUCCAGGUGUAGCGGUGAAAUGCGUAGAUAUCUGGAGGAACACCGGUGGCGAAGGCGGCGUUCUGGACUGCAUCUGACACUGAAAGACGAAAGCCAGGGGAGCAAACGGG
Molecule: ribosomal RNA, 253 nt
Filed under: uncultured bacterium
Lineage: Bacteria
Description: partial 16S ribosomal RNA
Rfam family: Bacterial small subunit ribosomal RNA
Source: RNAcentral